This 474-nucleotide ribosomal RNA is filed under the name uncultured bacterium. RNAcentral's name for it is "bacterial SSU rRNA". It matches the Rfam family "Bacterial small subunit ribosomal RNA", at positions 29 to 524 of the family's 1533-position model. The record is from RNAcentral.
AACGAACGCUGGCGGCAUGCCUAACACAUGCAAGUCGAACGAGACCUUCGGGUCUAGUGGCGCACGGGUGCGUAACGCGGGGAAUCUGCCCCUUGGUUCGGAAUAACUUCGGGAAACUGAAGCUAAUACCGGAUAAUGACGUAAGUCCAAAGAUUUAUCGCCAAGGGAUGAGCCCGCGUAGGAUUAGCUAGUUGGUGGGGUAAAGGCUCACCAAGGCGACGAUCCUUAGCUGGUCUGAGAGGAUGAUCAGCCACACUGGGACUGAGACACGGCCCAGACUCCUACGGGAGGCAGCAGUGGGGAAUAUUGGACAAUGGGCGAAAGCCUGAUCCAGCCAUGCCGCGUGUGGGAAGAAGGCCUUCGGGUUGUAACCACUUUGUCAGGGAAGAAACGGGACCUUUCUAAUUACAAGGGGCUAAUGACGGUACCUGAAGAAUAAGCACCGGCUAACUACGUGCCAGCAGCCGCGGUAAU